GCUCAGGAUGAACGCUAGCUACAGGCUUAACACAUGCAAGUCGAGGGGUAGCAGGGUAGCAAUACCGCUGACGACCGGCGCACGGGUGAGUAACACGUAUCCAACCUUCCCAUAACUCGGGGAUAGCCUUUCGAAAGAAAGAUUAAUACCCGAUAGUACUUAUAUAAGGCAUCUUAAAUAAGUUAAAGAUUUAUUGGUUAUGGAUGGGGAUGCGUUCCAUUAGAUAGUUGGUGAGGUAACGGCUCACCAAGUCUUCGAUGGAUAGGGGUUCUGAAAGGAAGGUCCCCCACAUUGGUACUGAGACACGGACCAAACUCCUACGGGAGGCAGCAGUGAGGAAUAUUGGUCAAUGGGCG
RNAcentral lists this ribosomal RNA (356 nucleotides) under uncultured Bacteroidales bacterium. Its description in RNAcentral is "bacterial SSU rRNA". It matches the Rfam family "Bacterial small subunit ribosomal RNA", at positions 22 to 377 of the family's 1533-position model. Lineage: Bacteria; Pseudomonadati; Bacteroidota; Bacteroidia; Bacteroidales. The record is from RNAcentral.